RNAcentral lists this long non-coding RNA (808 nucleotides) under Bos taurus (domestic cattle). RNAcentral describes it as "long non-coding RNA NONBTAT015045". Lineage: Eukaryota; Metazoa; Chordata; Mammalia; Artiodactyla; Bovidae. The record is from RNAcentral.
UUGAGCCCUAUCCAUCAUGCAGAGACUUCCCUCCUGCUGUCCUUUCUGAUGGACAAUUCUGCUGAUGGGGAUAUUCAAAAAGAAGGGAUCAGGAAGAACAGAUGAUGGAUAAAGACAGUCUUCUGUCUUGAGAGGAAAUCAGAGAAAUCCUUUUAAGGAAUUUCUUUGUCGUCGUGUCAGAAGAUUAAUUAUGCUCGUGUGAGAACAGCUUUCUCAUUGGGUGAAAAGAGACAUUAUCCUUCUGACUUGUGACAGAAGAUUUUCAAAGCAAGAGAGUUAAAGAUUUCAGCUACUCCAAAAUCUUCUUAUUCUGUUGUCUUCUAAGCAUAUUCCAGAACCGUUGGAUUACAUCCAUGAUAUUGUGAUGCUCAACAAGUAAUUAAUGAAUCAGGAAUUUUUGUUUCAAGCCACUCUUCCUCCCAUUCCUUAUGCAGAUCUCUUUGGAGGCCUUAAUACCCAUUUGUGCAUCAGAUUUUAAAAUUACAUAACAAUAGUAUGAGGGAUAACUUAUUACAAGCUAAGAAUGGCACCUUUUUAUAGUAAUGCAGAGAAGGAAACCCUGUGGUGUAAUGUAAAACUUGUACAACAGAUUAAUAAAUACAGUUUUUAAUAGGGCAAAUAAUACUAUAAUCUGAAAAGGUAUCCUUACAAAAUCAACUCUAUUGUGUAAUUUAAUCUGCAUGUGAAUAAUGAUACUGUGUAAGAUAUCUCCUUUCCUUGAAACCUCUCUGAGCAUGACAAAUCAGUAUUCAGAAAAACCUUUGAAAGUUAGAGACAAAAUACACUGCAUGAAGUAAAACAAUACAAA